GCUGGCGGCAGGCCUAACCAUGCAAGUCGAGCGGACACGACACUAUUGAAUCUUCGGAUGAUUUAAUGGGCGUCGAGCGGCGGACGGGUGAGUAAUGCCUAGGAAAUUGCCUUGAUGUGGGGGAUAACCAUUGGAAACGAUGGCUAAUACCGCAUAAUGCCUACGGGCCAAAGAGGGGGAUCUUCGGACCUCUCGCGUCAAGAUAUGCCUAGGUGGGAUUAGCUAGUUGGUGAGGUAAUGGCUCACCAAGGCGACGAUCCCUAGCUGGUCUGAGAGGAUGAUCAGCCACACUGGAACUGAGACACGGUCCAGACUCCUACGGGAGGCAGCAGUGGGGAAUAUUGCACAAUGGGCGAAAGCCUGAUGCAGCCAUGCCGCGUGUAUGAAGAAGGCCUUCGGGUUGUAAAGUACUUUCAGUUGUGAGGAAGGGGGUAGUGUUAAUAGCGCUAUCUCUUGACGUUAGCAACAGAAGAAGCACCGGCUAACUCCGUGCCAGCAGCCGCGGUAAUACGGAGGGUGCGAGCGUUAAUCGGAAUUACUGGGCGUAAAGCGCAUGCAGGUGGUUCAUUAAGUCAGAUGUGAAAGCCCGGGGCUCAACCUCGGAACUGCAUUUGAAACUGGUGAACUAGAGUGCUGUAGAGGGGGGUA
This 648-nucleotide ribosomal RNA is filed under the name Vibrio sp. W028B. RNAcentral describes it as "SSU rRNA". It matches the Rfam family "Bacterial small subunit ribosomal RNA", at positions 35 to 663 of the family's 1533-position model. Lineage: Bacteria; Pseudomonadati; Pseudomonadota; Gammaproteobacteria; Vibrionales; Vibrionaceae. The record is from RNAcentral.